UACUCUCACACUCUCUGAUCCUUUGGAUUUGGGGAGCGGUGGACUUGGGUGUUUGCUGCUUUCCUUGUGGCUCACCUCAAAUGCGUCAGUGCACCUCUUGGUUGGACAUAGUACGGCGUGAUAAGUGUCUUCGCCGGCGCCUCGCAAGAGGGUGGCCGAUCGGGAGCUCUGUGCUUUCAAACCGUCCUCGGACAAUCUCUGACAAC
Molecule: unclassified non-coding RNA, 206 nt
Filed under: uncultured Sebacina
Lineage: Eukaryota; Fungi; Basidiomycota; Agaricomycetes; Sebacinales; Sebacinaceae
Description: sequence contains ITS2
Source: RNAcentral